GAAUGUGCCUUCGGGAACCGUGAGACAGGUGCUGCAUGGCUGUCGUCAGCUCGUGUUGUGAAAUGUUGGGUUAAGUCCCGCAACGAGCGCAACCCUUAUCCUUUGUUGCCAGCGGUCCGGCCGGGAACUCAAAGGAGACUGCCAGUGAUAAACUGGAGGAAGGUGGGGAUGACGUCAAGUCAUCAUGGCCCUUACGACCAGGGCUACACACGUGCUACAAUGGCGCAUACAAAGAGAAGCGACCUCGCGAGAGCAAGCGGACCUCAUAAAGUGCGUCGUAGUCCGGAUUGGAGUCUGCAACUCGACUCCAUGAAGUCGGAAUCGCUAGUAAUCGUGGAUCAGAAUGCCACGGUGAAUACGUUCCCGGGCCUUGUACACACCGCCCGUCACACCAUGGGAGUGGGUUGCAAAAGAAGUAGGUAGCUUAACCUUCGGGAGGGCGCUUACCACUUUGUGAUUCAUGACUGGGGUGAAGUCGUAACAAGGUAACCGUAGGGGAACCUGCGGUUGGAUCACCUCCUUA
This 523-nucleotide ribosomal RNA is filed under the name Escherichia coli. Its description in RNAcentral is "bacterial SSU rRNA". It matches the Rfam family "Bacterial small subunit ribosomal RNA", at positions 1010 to 1533 of the family's 1533-position model. Lineage: Bacteria; Pseudomonadati; Pseudomonadota; Gammaproteobacteria; Enterobacterales; Enterobacteriaceae. RNAcentral also lists the same sequence under 1 other name. The record is from RNAcentral.